GCAGUCGAGCGCGAAGGUUUUCGGACUGAGUAAAGCGGCGGACGGGUGAGUAACGCGUGGGAAUCUGCCCAGUAGUGGGGGACAACAGCCGGAAACGGCUGCUAAUACCGCAUACGCCCUACGGGGGAAAGGGGGGGAUCUUCGGACCUCUCGCUAUUGGAUGAGCCCGCGUCGGAUUAGCUAGUUGGUAGGGUAAAGGCCUACCAAGGCUACGAUCCGUAACUGGUCUGAGAGGAUGAUCAGUCACACUGGAACUGAGACACGGUCCAGACUCCUACGGGAGGCAGCAGUGGGGAAUAUUGGACAAUGGGGGCAACCCUGAUCCAGCCAUGCCGCGUGUGUGAAGAAGGCCUUAGGGUUGUAAAGCACUUUCAGUGGGGAGAAAGGCCUGUUGGUUAAUAGUCGACGGGAUUGAUGUUACCCACAGAAGAAGCACCGGCUAACUCCGUGCCAGCAGCCGCGGUAAUACGGAGGGUGCAAGCGUUAAUCGGAAUUACUGGGCGUAAAGCGCACGUAGGUGGUUUGUUAAGCCAGCUGUGAAAUCCCCGGGCUCAACCUGGGCACUGCAGUUGGAACUGGCAAGCUAGAGUAGGGUAGAGGGGUGUGGAAUUUCAGGUGUAGCGGUGAAAUGCGU
Molecule: ribosomal RNA, 634 nt
Filed under: bacterium SVAL1.29
Lineage: Bacteria
Description: bacterial SSU rRNA
Rfam family: Bacterial small subunit ribosomal RNA
Source: RNAcentral